RNAcentral lists this ribosomal RNA (497 nucleotides) under uncultured bacterium. Its description in RNAcentral is "partial 16S ribosomal RNA". It matches the Rfam family "Bacterial small subunit ribosomal RNA", at positions 28 to 507 of the family's 1533-position model. The record is from RNAcentral.
GAUGAACGCUGGCGGCGUGCCUAAUACAUGCAAGUCGAGCGAACGGACGAGAAGCUUGCUUCUCUGAUGUUAGCGGCGGACGGGUGAGUAACACGUGGAUAACCUACCUAUAAGACUGGGAUAACUUCGGGAAACCGGAGCUAAUAACGGAUCAUAUUUUGAACCGCAUGGUUCAAAAGUGAAAGACGGUCUUGCUGUCACUUAUAGAUGGAUCCGCGCUGCAUUAGCUAGUUGGUAAGGUAACGGCUUACCAAGGCAACGAUGCAUAGCCGACCUGAGAGGAUGAUCAGCCACACUGGAACUGAGACACGGUCCAGACUCCUACGGGAGGCAGCAGUGGGGAAUCUUCCGCAAUGGGCGAAAGCCUGACGGAGCAACGCCGCGUGGGUGAUGAAGGUCUUCGGGUCGUAAAACUCUUUUAUUAGGGAAGAACAUAUGUAUGAGUAUCUGUGCACAUCUUGACGGUACCUAAACAGAAAGCCACGGCUAACUUCGUG